AACAACCAAACCGACGACGUGGCCAAACGUAAAUAUACAUGCAUGUUCACAAUUCUCCCAUUAUGUCAGACCUGCCUGCAUAACUUUAAUUUAUUUCAUCUAAUUUUAGUAAUAAUACGGUGUUGCUAAUAGUAUCGAUAAGACUAUGUCACUUGCAACCGGCUUGUUCAGGAUGGGACAACCCCCAUUUCAAUAGAAACAUUUCCACGUUUGUAUCUUAACACACAAGGCUAUGCAUUAUUCUUCCCAGAAGAUGUCAUGGGUCAGAAUAAUAAAAUACAAUAAUCACUUCAAUCAUUCUGUGUCCAUACUUUUGAUGAUUAAUUGCAAGUGCCUGUAGAUUCUAGGCAACAUUUUUCAACUAACCGGUUUCAUCUGCAGCUGAUGGGUGAGUGAAUCCAUAACAUCACCACAAACGUCUUUUCAAGCCAGGCAACCUCAGCGUGAAGAGAUCCAGAAGGCAGCAGCCACACUGCAGGAAAAAUGCCCCCAUGUGACCAUCAAUGAGGAUGCAUUGUUUGACGAGGUUACUGGCCUGCAAGAGUUCCUAAAGGGGGGAUCGCUUGAAUAAUGGAAAACAUCGGAGACACCGCUUAGUCAGAGAUGGAGUUACCCACUUCAAAGAGAACCACAUCCCACACUCUAACCUGGCUAGAUUAGCGUCUGUUGUCAUGUGCUUACCUGGAAGUAAUACACCAGUCGAGAGAGUGUUCUCCCAAAUGAAUGCUCUAUGGACAGCAGCAAGAAAUAGUUUCCCUGUUCCUACCAUCAAGGCCAUGCUUAUUGUGAAGACAAACGCCAACCUCCCCUGCCAGGAGUUCAUGGAGAAGCUGGCCAAAGACAGAGCAAUCCUGAAGAAGAUACAUUGUUCUGAGAAAUAUACAGAUUAGGUUGGAAUAAGUGUUUCCCUGGCACCCAAAAGUACUUGUUUCAUUUCGAAUGCAAAGCCGGACAGGAAAAUGGUCCAUAUCACACACUUAUCAAGAGAACAUCCCUGGUCAUCCCUACUUCCUCUGAUCUGGAGGACUCACUAAACAGAGAACAUCCCUGGUCAUCCCUACUGCCUCUGAUCUGGAGGACUCACUAAACAGAGAACAUCCCUGGUCA
Molecule: long non-coding RNA, 1107 nt
Organism: Oncorhynchus masou masou (cherry salmon)
Lineage: Eukaryota; Metazoa; Chordata; Actinopteri; Salmoniformes; Salmonidae
Exons: 3
Source: RefSeq, a predicted model, not a curated record